CCCUUAGAUGUUCUGGGCGGCCCGCGCACUACAUUGGCACUGGCAACAAGAUCCUAGAUCUGGUAUUUCGGGGUAUUCUACCAACUGGUGUCGUGACUGGGAUUAACCCCUGCAAUUAUUGGUUAUGAACGAGGAAUUCCUUGUAAUCACGGUUUAUCAACCCGUGUUGAACGCGUCCCUGCCCUUUGUACACACCGCCCGUCGCUCCUACCGAUGAAUCGUCCGGUGAAGUUCAUGGAGUCGCGGCUGCUCCAGCUGUUUUCGAAGUGAAAUGGACCUCAUGAUUUAGAGGAAGGAGAAGUCGUAACA
Molecule: ribosomal RNA, 309 nt
Filed under: uncultured eukaryote
Lineage: Eukaryota
Description: partial 18S ribosomal RNA
Rfam family: Eukaryotic small subunit ribosomal RNA
Source: RNAcentral